UGAGCCUGCUGAGCAGUCGCCAUGAGCAAAGCCCACCCUCCCGAACUGAAGAAGUUUAUGGACAAGAAGUUAUCAUUAAAAUUAUACGGUGGCAGGCAUGUACAAGGAAUACUGCGGGGCUUUGAUCCCUUCAUGAACCUUGUGAUUGAUGAGUGUGUGGAGAUGGCAACCAGUGGGCAGCAGAACAACAUCGGCAUGGUGGUCAUCCGAGGAAACAGCAUUAUCAUGUUAGAAGCCUUGGAAAGAGUCUGACCAGUGUUCAGCAGUGUGUCCACAUCCCUC
Mastomys coucha (southern multimammate mouse) is the source of this 282-nucleotide RNA transcript. It is a transcript of the gene named small nuclear ribonucleoprotein G pseudogene, with no coding region annotated. The transcript has a single exon. The record is from RefSeq and is a predicted model, not a curated record. Lineage: Eukaryota; Metazoa; Chordata; Mammalia; Rodentia; Muridae.